ACCCCACUGCUAUCGGGAUAGGACUAAGACAUGCUAGUCGUGCGCUUCCUAGCCAAUUUGGGAGCGCGGCACACAGCUCAGUAACACGUGGCUAACCUGCCCUUGGGACCAGAAUACCCCCGGGAAACUGGGGCUAAUUCUCGAUAGGUGAAGAACUCUGGAAUGAGUCUUCGCUUAAAAGAGGCUGGGGUUAUGCUCUCCAGUUUCGCCCAAGGAUGGGGCCGCGACCGAUCAGGUUGUUGGUGAGGUAAUGGCUCACCAAGCCUUUUACCGGUGCGGGCCGUGAGAGCGGGAGCCCGGAGAUGGGCACUGAGACAAGGGCCCAGGCCCUACGGGGCGCAGCAGUCGCGAAAACUUUGCAAUAAGCGAAAGCUUGACAGGGCUAUCCCGAGUGCCAUCCGCUGAGGAAGGCUUUUACCCAGUCUAGAACGCUGGGGGAAUAAGGAGAGGGCAAGUCUGGUGUCAGCCGCCGCGGUAAUACCAGCUCUCCGAGUGGUGUGGAUGUUUAUUGGGCCUAAAGCAUCCGUAGCUGGCUAGGUUAGUCCCCUGUUAAAUCCACCGAAUUAAUCGUUGGAUUGCGGGGGAUACUGCUUGGCUAGGGGACGAGAGAGGCAGACGGUAUUUCCGGGGUAGGGGUGAAAUCCUAUAAUCCCGGGAAGACCACCAGUGGCGAAGGCUGUCUGCUAGAACGCGCCCGACGGUGAGGGAUGAAAGCUGGGGGAGCGAACCGGAUUAGGUACCCGGGUAGUCCCAGCUGUAAACGAUGCAGGCUAGGUGUUUGGACGGCCACGUGCCGUUCUAGUGCCGCAGGGAAGCUGUUAAGCCUGCCGCCUGGGGAGUACGAUCGCAAGAUUGAAACUUAAAGGAAU
RNAcentral lists this ribosomal RNA (869 nucleotides) under uncultured crenarchaeote. Its description in RNAcentral is "bacterial SSU rRNA". It matches the Rfam family "Archaeal small subunit ribosomal RNA", at positions 21 to 865 of the family's 1478-position model. Lineage: Archaea; Thermoproteati; Thermoproteota. The record is from RNAcentral.